Diorhabda sublineata is the source of this 876-nucleotide long non-coding RNA. RefSeq lists it as uncharacterized. NCBI's taxonomy places the organism in Eukaryota, Metazoa, Arthropoda, Insecta, Coleoptera, Chrysomelidae. The record is from RefSeq and is a predicted model, not a curated record. The transcript is spliced from 3 exons.
GUCAAUUGAUAUUUACGACUUCAAUUAAUUGUAUAAACAUAAACUUGAUUUACCAUUUACUCAUUUAAUUGAUGUCGUUUCCAUUUUAAAACUAAAACUAUGUCUUAGACGAAAGUCGCUGCCCUUAAGCUCAUAGAGCUAUAUGGACACCAUCCAAAUUUGUACGAAACUACAUCUACAAAGUACAAAAAUAAACACGUACGGUCGAGUUUCCUAGAAGCCAUUCGAAAUGAACUACAGUUACUGAAAUAAAAGCAAAGUAUAACAUAAUGCGUCAGACCUACAUACAAGAGAGGAAAAAAGUAGUGACUUCCAAAAAAAGUGGUGCUGGUGCAGCUGAUGUUUAUAUUCCAAAUUUGUAUUAUUUUGAAGUAAUAGAUAAAUUACUUAGAGGAAGUGGCAUAUACCCUAGGGUCUCAACUGAUACAAUUAUUGAUGAACUUUACGAUAUUUCAUCAGACAAUGAGAACGUAAAUAAUAAGUCACACUAUUUGUAGUUGUGCAACAAGUUAUUAUUAUAUAAUAUUGGAAUUUACUGAAAUGGAUGAUGACGGUUCCAUAAGUCCAGCUAUUAAUAGUCCCGUCACUAGUCAUAUAGCUACGACAUUACAAUCGAAAACCCCAGAGGUUUAAAAAAAAUUUCUUCCUGGGGACAAAAUUUUGGAAGAUGCUUCAGCAGUAAUGCCAUGGAACAAAUGCAACAAAAAACUCCAAAGGAUUGGUUUGAUGUCUUUGGUGAAUAAUAUAUUGCCAUGCGAUUAAGAACCAUCUCUGAUGAGGCUAUUUAGAAUGAAGCUGAAUUAAAUGUAAUCAAUAUUAUUAGUAAUAUAUGACAAUGAAAAAUAAGAACAAUAAAACUACAUAAUAUAACUUGAA